GUGGGAGCCUCGCAAGGGGUGACUGCGUACCUUUGUAUAAUGGGUCAGCGACUUACGUUCUGUAGCGAGCUUAACCGAAUAGGGGAGGCGUAGCGAAAGCGAGUCUGAUAAGGGCGCUUUAGUUGCAGGGCGUAGACCCGAAACCAGAUGAUCUAUCCAUGGCCAGGAUGAAGGUGCCGUAACAGGUACUGGAGGUCCGAACCCACUAAUGUUGAAAAAUUAGGGGAUGAGCUGUGGAUAGGGGUGAAAGGCUAAACAAAUCUGGAAAUAGCUGGUUCUCCCCGGAAGCUAUUUAGGUAGCGCCUCAUGUAUCACUCGCGGGGGUAGAGCACUGUAAUGGUUGGAGGGGUCACUGCGAUCUACUCCGCCAUAGCAAACUCCGAAUACCGCGAAGUGCGAGCAUGGGAGACAGACGGUGGGUGCUAACGUCCAUCGUCAAGAGGGAAACAACCCAGACCGCCAGCUAAGGUCCCCAAGCCAUGGUUAAGUGGAAAACGAAGUGGGAAGGCAUAGACAGUCAGGAAGUUGGCUUAGAAGCAGCCAUCCUUCAAAGAAAGCGUAAUAGCUCACUGAUCGAGUCGUCCUGCGCGGAAGAUGUAACGGGGCUCAAACCAUGCACCGAAGCUGCGGAUGUGCGUAAGCACAUGGUAGGGGAGCGUUCUGUAGGUCUGCGAAGGUGUGGUGUAAACCAUGCUGGAGAUAUCAGAAGUGCGAAUGCUGACAUGAGUAGCGAUAAAGGGUGUGAAAAGCACCCUCGCCGAAAGCCCAAGGUUUCCUGCGCAACGUUCAUCGGCGCAGGGUGAGUCGGCCCCUAAGGCGAGGCCGAAAGGCGUAGUCGAUGGGAAACGGGUCAAUAUUCCCGUACCGAUCACAGAUGCGAUGGGGGGACGGAGAAGGUUAGCUCAGCCGGGUGUUGGAUGUCCCGGUUUAAGCGUGUAGGCGUGCUGCACAGGAAAAUCCGUGCGGCUUAGCUGAGGCGUGAUGACGAGGAACUUCGGUUCUGAAGUGAGUGAUACCCUGCUUCCAGGAAAAGCCUCUAAGCUUCAGUCUGUGAUUGACCGUACCGCAGACCGACACAGGUGGGCAGGAUGAAAAUUCUAAGGCGCUUGAGAGAACUCAGGAGAAGGAACUCGGCAAAUUGAUACCGUAACUUCGGGAGAAGGUAUGCCUCGGUAGCGUGAAGCCCCUGCGGGUGGAGCGUGAUGAGGUCGCAGAGAAUCGGUGGCUGCAACUGUUUAAUAAAAACGCAGCACUCUGCAAAGGCGAAAGCCGACGUAUAGGGUGUGACGCCUGCCCGGUGCCGGAAGGUUAAGUGAUGGGGUGCAAGCUCUUGAUCGAAGCCCCGGUAAACGGCGGCCGUAACAAUAACGGUCCUAAGGUAGCGAAAUUCCUUGUCGGGUAAGUUCCGACCUGCACGAAUGGCGUAAUGAUGGCCACACUGUCUCCUCCUGAGACUCAGCGAAGUUGAAAUGUUUGUGAAGAUGCAAUCUACCCGCGGCUAGACGGAAAGACCCCAUGAACCUUUACUGUAGCUUUGCAUUGGACUUUGACC
RNAcentral lists this ribosomal RNA (1552 nucleotides) under metagenome. RNAcentral describes it as "bacterial LSU rRNA". It matches the Rfam family "Bacterial large subunit ribosomal RNA", at positions 573 to 2129 of the family's 2925-position model. The record is from RNAcentral.